Molecule: ribosomal RNA, 253 nt
Filed under: uncultured bacterium
Lineage: Bacteria
Description: partial 16S ribosomal RNA
Rfam family: Bacterial small subunit ribosomal RNA
Source: RNAcentral
UACGGAGGGUGCAAGCGUUAUCCGGAUUCACUGGGUUUAAAGGGUGCGUAGGUGGGCAGGUAAGUCAGUGGUGAAAUCUCUGGGCUUAACCCAGAAACUGCCGUUGAUACUAUCUGUCUUGAAUGUAGUGGAGGUGAGCGGAAUAUGUCAUGUAGCGGUGAAAUGCUUAGAUAUGACAUAGAACACCCAUUGCGAAGGCAGCUCGCUACACUAUUAUUGACACUGGGGCACGAAAGCGUGGGGAUCAAACAGG